AUUGAACGCUGGCGGCAUGCUUUACACAUGCGAGUCGAACGGUAACAGGCCGCAAGGUGCUGACGAGUGGCGAACGGGUGAGUAAUGCAUCGGAACGUGCCCAGUCGUGGGGGAUAACUACUCGAAAGAGUAGCUAAUACCGCAUACGAUCUAUGGAUGAAAGCGGGGGACCGUAAGGCCUCGCGCGAUUGGAGCGGCCGAUGUCGGAUUAGGUAGUUGGUGGGGUAAAGGCUCACCAAGCCCACGAUCUGUAGCUGGUCUGAGAGGACGACCAGCCACACUGGGACUGAGACACGGCCCAGACUCCUACGGGAGGCAGCAGUGGGGAAUUUUGGACAAUGGGCGCAAGCCUGAUCCAGCAAUGCCGCGUGCAGGAAGAAGGCCUUCGGGUUGUAAACUGCUUUUGUACGGAACGAAACGGCUCUGGUUAAUACCCGGGGCUAAUGACGGUACCGUAAGAAUAAGCACCGGCUAACUACGUG
This 482-nucleotide ribosomal RNA is filed under the name uncultured bacterium. Its description in RNAcentral is "partial 16S ribosomal RNA". It matches the Rfam family "Bacterial small subunit ribosomal RNA", at positions 30 to 507 of the family's 1533-position model. The record is from RNAcentral.